UUGGAGGGCAAGUCUGGUGCCAGCAGCCGCGGUAAUUCCAGCUCCAAUAGCGUAUAUUAAAGUUGUUGCAGUUAAAAAGCUCGUAGUUGAAUUUCGGGAUCAAUGUUUCGGUCAUGCCGUUGGUAUGUACUGAUAUUAUUGAUUUCUCACCUUCUAAAGAACCGUAAUGCCAUUAAUUUGGUGUCACGGGGAAUUAGGACUGUUACCUUGAAAAAAUUAGAGUGUUUAAAGCAGGCUCACGCUUGAAUACAUUAGCAUGGAAUAAUGAAAUAGGACAUCCGAUUCUAUUUUGUUGGUUUCUAGGAUCGAUGUAAUGAUUAAUAGGGAUAGUUGGGGGCAUUAGUAUUCAAUUGUCAGAGGUGAAAUUCUUGGAUUUAUUGAAGACUAACUACUGCGAAAGCAUUUGCCAAGGAUGUUUUCAUUAAUCAAGAACGAAAGUUAGGGGAUCGAAGACGAUCAGAUACCGUCGUAGUCUUAACCAUAAACUAUGCCGACUAGGGAUCGGAUGAUGUUAAUUUUUUAAUGACUCAUUCGGCGCCUUAUGGGAAACCAAAG
RNAcentral lists this ribosomal RNA (555 nucleotides) under uncultured Glomus. Its description in RNAcentral is "SSU rRNA". It matches the Rfam family "Eukaryotic small subunit ribosomal RNA", at positions 548 to 1103 of the family's 1831-position model. The record is from RNAcentral. Lineage: Eukaryota; Fungi; Glomeromycota; Glomeromycetes; Glomerales; Glomeraceae.